Molecule: non-coding RNA, 306 nt
Filed under: Micractinium conductrix
Lineage: Eukaryota; Viridiplantae; Chlorophyta; Trebouxiophyceae; Chlorellales; Chlorellaceae
Source: RNAcentral
GCACCCUGCGCUCGCCUCGCCAGGGCUGACUCUCAGCUCUCCAACCCUAAAUAAGUCCGUUCUCGUCUCUCAUGAGAUGUCCACCAACCCAUUUCCCCGCCUUUGCCCCACCGUUCGCGGCGCUUGCCCUUCAAGCGAAAGCAACGGUGCGCCGCGGCUGCGCCCCCCUGUGGCCCGCCGCCCUCGUGGGUUGGGCAGGCUUGCCGCCCAGCACGCGGCGAGAGAGCCUAGAGCUCGCUCCUGCCCGAGUUCCGGAGGGCGGCAAUGGGUGCUGCGCGUUUUGGCUGUAAGGUGCCGCGCUUUUGC